Small nuclear RNA from Apteryx haastii (Great spotted kiwi), 103 nucleotides. Its record names the gene U1. It matches the Rfam family "U1 spliceosomal RNA". Rfam says of the family: U1 is a small nuclear RNA (snRNA) component of the spliceosome (involved in pre-mRNA splicing). Its 5' end forms complementary base pairs with the 5' splice junction, thus defining the 5' donor site of an intron. There are significant differences in sequence and secondary structure between metazoan and yeast U1 snRNAs, the latter being much longer (568 nucleotides as compared to 164 nucleotides in human). Lineage: Eukaryota; Metazoa; Chordata; Aves; Apterygiformes; Apterygidae. The record is from Ensembl.
GGGGAGACACCACCAUCUGCAAAGUGAUUUUCCCCGGGUGAGCAUCCUCCCGUGCCUGAUGGGUGUGCUGACCCCACGAUUUCCCAAGCAUGGAAACUUCAAC